CGCGUAGGUGGUUUGUUAAGUUGGAUGUGAAAGCCCCGGGCUCAACCUGGGAACUGCAUCCAAAACUGGCAAGCUAGAGUACGGUAGAGGGUGGUGGAAUUUCCUGUGUAGCGGUGAAAUGCGUAGAUAUAGGAAGGAACACCAGUGGCGAAGGCGGCUUUCUGGACUGUAACUGACGCUGAGGCGCGAAAGCGUGGGGAGCGAACG
Molecule: ribosomal RNA, 207 nt
Filed under: uncultured bacterium
Lineage: Bacteria
Description: partial 16S ribosomal RNA
Rfam family: Bacterial small subunit ribosomal RNA
Source: RNAcentral